Dipodomys ordii (Ord's kangaroo rat) is the source of this 107-nucleotide small nuclear RNA. The record is from Ensembl. NCBI's taxonomy places the organism in Eukaryota, Metazoa, Chordata, Mammalia, Rodentia, Heteromyidae.
GUGUUCGUUUUGGCAGCACAUAUACUAAAAUUGGAACAAUACAGAGAAGAUUAGCAUGGCUCCUGCGCAAGGAUGACACGUAAAUUCAUGAAGCGUUCCAUAUUUUU